AAGAAAGCGGGACAAUAAUUUUCGUACCUUUUGCAUCAUGAUUUAGCUAGUAAACCCAAGCAAAGGGCGCUUUAGUUUGUUUCCCGGAAAUUAAGUGAGUUAUUCCAAGGCAGCCUAUUAAUAGGGCCAACCCGUCUCUGUGGCAAAAGAGUGGGACGAGCUUUGAGUAGAGGUGACAGACCUACCGAACUAAGUAAUAGCUGUUUGCUUAAGAAUUGAAUAGAAGUUCAGCUUCUAGGCUUCUUCACUCAUUAAAGUAUUACACUCAUAUGACAAACAAGAAACCCAAGAAAGUUACUCAAAGGGGGUACAGCCCCUUUGAAUAAAGACACAACUUUUAUAGAUGGGUAACGACCAUAGUUUUAGUAAGGCAAAGUAUUUUAGUGGGCCCAAAAGCAGCCACCUGAAUAGAAAGCGUUAAAGCUCAAAUACCCUUCACCCUAUUAUUCCGGCAUACAAUCUUAACCCUCUUAAUAUUAUUAAGCCAUCCCAUGCAAACAUGGGAGUGACCAUGCUAAUAUGAGUAAUAAGAGAAAACAAAUUUUCUCUCCCCACACACGUGUAAAUCGAAACGGACCCACCACCGAUCAUUAAACGGCCCCAAACAAAGAGGGUACUAGACCCACAAAUAAAAAACAAGAAAAACCCCAAACAUAAAACCGUUAAACCCACACUGGAGUGUAUAUUAGGAAAGACUAAAAGAAAAAGAAGGAACUCGGCAAACACUACUUGAGCCUCGCCUGUUUACCAAAAACAUCGCCUCUUGCAAACAUCAAUGAAUAAGAGGUCCCGCCUGCCCUGUGACAUAAAAUGUUUAACGGCCGCGGUAUUUUGACCGUGCAAAGGUAGCGCAAUCACUUGUCUUUUAAAUGGAGACCUGUAUGAAUGGCAUAACGAGGGCUAAGCUGUCUCCUUUUUCCAGUCAAUGAAAUUGAUCUCCCCGUGCAGAAGCGGGGAUAAAGACAUAAGACGAGAAGACCCUAUGGAGCUUCAGACACUAAAGCAGCUUUAUGUUAAAUAACCCUCAACAGGAUUAAACCAAAAAAUGCCUGCCGUAUUGUCUUUGGUUGGGGCGACCGCGGGGAAAUACAAAACCCCCAUGUGGAACGGGAGAAUUACUCCUACAACCAAGAGCCACAGCUCUAAUAAACCAGAAUCUCUGACCUCUAAGAUCCGGCACAUUCGCCGAUCGACGGACCGAGUUACCCUAGGGAUAACAGCGCAAUCCUCUUUUAGAGUCCCUAUCGACAAGAGGGUUUACGACCUCGAUGUUGGAUCAGGACAUCCUAAUGGUGCAGCCGCUAUUAAGGGUUCGUUUGUUCAACGAUUAAAGUCC
Molecule: ribosomal RNA, 1336 nt
Filed under: Badis siamensis
Lineage: Eukaryota; Metazoa; Chordata; Actinopteri; Anabantiformes; Badidae
Description: partial 16S rRNA
Rfam family: Bacterial large subunit ribosomal RNA
Source: RNAcentral